This 445-nucleotide ribosomal RNA is filed under the name uncultured bacterium. Its description in RNAcentral is "partial 16S ribosomal RNA". It matches the Rfam family "Bacterial small subunit ribosomal RNA", at positions 354 to 796 of the family's 1533-position model. The record is from RNAcentral.
GUGAGGAAUAUUGGUCAAUGGGCGAGAGCCUGAACCAGCCAAGUAGCGUGCAGGAUGACGGCCCUAUGGGUUGUAAACUGCUUUUACACGGGGAUAAAGUGUGCGACGUGUCGUUCAUUGCAGGUACCGUGCGAAUAAGGACCGGCUAAUUCCGUGCCAGCAGCCGCGGUAAUCCGGAAGGUCCGGGCGUUAUCCGGAUUUAUUGGGUUUAAAGGGAGCGUAGGCCGUCUGUUAAGCGUGUUGUGACAUGUAGAUGCUCAAAAUCUGAAUUGCAGCGCGAACUGACCGACUUGAGUGCGCAGGAAGUAGGCGGAAUUCGUGGUGUAGCGGUGAAAUGCUUAGAUAUCACGAAGAACUCCGAUUGCGAAGGCAGCUUACUGUAGCGCCACUGACGCUGAAGCUCGAAAGUGCGGGUAUCGAACAGGAUUAGAAACCCGAGUAGUCC